RNAcentral lists this ribosomal RNA (876 nucleotides) under uncultured Bacteroidota bacterium. Its description in RNAcentral is "bacterial SSU rRNA". It matches the Rfam family "Bacterial small subunit ribosomal RNA", at positions 18 to 893 of the family's 1533-position model. Lineage: Bacteria; Pseudomonadati; Bacteroidota. The record is from RNAcentral.
UAUGGCUCAGGACGAACGCUGGCGGCGUGCUUAACACAUGCAAGUCGAACGAGAAUCUACUGAAAGAGUUUUCGGACAAUGGAUGUAGAGGAAAGUGGCGGACGGGUGAGUAACGCGUGAGGAACCUGCCUUGAAGAGGGGGACAACAGUUGGAAACGACUGCUAAUACCGCAUGACGCAUAGAGGUCGCAUGAUCUUUAUGCCAAAGAUUUAUCGCUUCAAGAUGGCCUCGCGUCUGAUUAGCUGGUUGGCGGGGUAACGGCCCACCAAGGCGACGAUCAGUAGCCGGACUGAGAGGUUGAACGGCCACAUUGGGACUGAGAUACGGCCCAGACUCCUACGGGAGGCAGCAGUGGGGAAUAUUGGGCAAUGGGCGCAAGCCUGACCCAGCAACGCCGCGUGAAGGAAGAAGGCUUUCGGGUUGUAAACUUCUUUUAAGAGGGAAGAGCAGAAGACGGUACCUCUAGAAUAAGCCACGGCUAACUACGUGCCAGCAGCCGCGGUAAUACGUAGGUGGCAAGCGUUGUCCGGAUUUACUGGGUGUAAAGGGCGUGCAGCCGGGUCUGCAAGUCAGAUGUGAAAUCCAUGGGCUCAACCCAUGAACUGCAUUUGAAACUGUAGAUCUUGAGUGUCGGAGGGGCAAUCGGAAUUCCUAGUGUAGCGGUGAAAUGCGUAGAUAUUAGGAGGAACACCAGUGGCGAAGGCGGAUUGCUGGACGAUAACUGACGGUGAGGCGCGAAAGUGUGGGGAGCAAACAGGAUUAGAUACCCUGGUAGUCCACACUGUAAACGAUGAAUACUAGGUGUGCGGGGACUGACCCCCUGCGUGCCGCAGUAAACACAAUAAGUAUUCCACCUGGGGAGUACGAUCGCAAGG